This 434-nucleotide ribosomal RNA is filed under the name uncultured Citrobacter sp. Its description in RNAcentral is "bacterial SSU rRNA". It matches the Rfam family "Bacterial small subunit ribosomal RNA", at positions 355 to 774 of the family's 1533-position model. Lineage: Bacteria; Pseudomonadati; Pseudomonadota; Gammaproteobacteria; Enterobacterales; Enterobacteriaceae. The record is from RNAcentral.
UGGGGAAUAUUGCACAAUGGGCGCAAGCCUGAUGCAGCCAUGCCGCGCUGUAUGAAGAAGCCAAUUCGGGCUUUGGUUAAAGAUACUUUUCAGCGAGGAGGAAGGUGUUGUGGUUAAUAACCACAGCAAUUGACGUUACUCGCAGAAGAAGCACCGGCUAACUCCGUGCCAGCAGCCGCGGUAAUACGGAGGGUGCAAGCGUUAAUCGGAAUUACUGGGCGUAAAGCGCACGCAGGCGGUCUGUCAAGUCGGAUGUGAAAUCCCCGGGCUCAACCUGGGAACUGCAUCCGAAACUGGCAGGCUAGAGUCUUGUAGAGGGGGUAGAAUUCCAGGUGUAGCGGUGAAAUUGCGUAGAGAUCUGGAGGAAUACCGGUGGCGAAGGCGGCCCCCUGGACAAAGACUGACGCUCAGGUGCGAAAGCGUGGGAGCAAACA